UUUUAUUAUAUGGUUAAAUAUACACUUAUCCCUAUGGUUAACUAAUUUAGAUCUUAUGAUUUAGAGUUAAGGGGUGGAGUUUAAAAUCUUUAAAAAAUAAAAAUAAAAAAUAAAAUUUUAAAAAUAUAAAUUUUAAAACAUAGUUUCAAAAAGCAUUUUCCAAUUUCAAAAAAAUAUUUGGAAUUUUUUUUUUGAAAUAGUCUGAAUUUUGAAAACAUAUAUGGUCAUACGGGUCUUUGGAUCUUUAAUGAAACCUAUUUUGGUGAUUUUUCUUUGAGAGCUCUUUUUGUGAGAAAAACUUAAAAAUAUCUAUUUGGGAGAAUCUCCCUUUAAUUAAACAAAAAAUUAAGAUUAAAAAUAU
RNAcentral lists this long non-coding RNA (361 nucleotides) under Brassica napus (rape). RNAcentral describes it as "long non-coding RNA (BNAP_LNC026117)". Lineage: Eukaryota; Viridiplantae; Streptophyta; Magnoliopsida; Brassicales; Brassicaceae. The record is from RNAcentral.